Rhamnusium bicolor is the source of this 75-nucleotide non-coding RNA. Lineage: Eukaryota; Metazoa; Arthropoda; Insecta; Coleoptera; Cerambycidae. The record is from the annotation of a GenBank genome assembly.
GGCUUUGUGGUCGAGUGGUAAAGACAUUUGCCUCUCACCCUAGAAUCCCGGGUUUAAUCCUCGGUCGAGGAGCUA